CUGAUCAGGAUGAACGCUAGCGGCAGGCUUAACACAUGCAAGUCGAGGGGCAGCGGGAUGUAGCAAUACAUUGCCGGCGACCGGCGGAUGGGUGCGUAACGCGUAUGCAACCUACCUUAGUACAGGGGAAUAACCUUUCGAAAGGGAGACUAACACCCCAUAGUAUUGAUUUAAGGCAUCUUAGAUUAAUUAAAUAUUUAUAGGUAUAAGAUGGGCAUGCGUAUGAUUAGCUAGUUGGUAAGGUAACGGCUUACCAAGGCGACGAUCAUUAGGGGUUCUGAGAGGAAGGUCCCCCACACUGGUACUGAGACACGGACCAGACUCCUACGGGAGGCAGCAGUGAGGAAUAUUGGUCAAUGGGCGCAAGCCUGAACCAGCCAUGCCGCGUGCAAGGAAGACGGCCUUAUGGGUUGUAAACUGCUUUUACAUAAGACUAACCGUAUAUUUGCGAAUAUACCUGAAUGUAUUAUGAGAAUAAGGAUCGGCUAACUCCGUGCCAGCCGCCGC
RNAcentral lists this ribosomal RNA (507 nucleotides) under uncultured bacterium. Its description in RNAcentral is "bacterial SSU rRNA". It matches the Rfam family "Bacterial small subunit ribosomal RNA", at positions 20 to 518 of the family's 1533-position model. The record is from RNAcentral.